UACGUAGGGUGCAAGCGUUAAUCGGAAUUACUGGGCGUAAAGCGUGCGCAGGCGGCUUUGCAAGACAGAUGUGAAAUCCCCGGGCUUAACCUGGGAACUGCAUUUGUGACUGCAUCGCUGGAGUGCGGCAGAGGGGGAUGGAAUUCCGCGUGUAGCAGUGAAAUGCGUAGAUAUGCGGAGGAACACCGAUGGCGAAGGCAAUCCCCUGGGCCUGCACUGACGCUCAUGCACGAAAGCGUGGGGAGCGAACAGG
RNAcentral lists this ribosomal RNA (253 nucleotides) under uncultured bacterium. Its description in RNAcentral is "partial 16S ribosomal RNA". It matches the Rfam family "Bacterial small subunit ribosomal RNA", at positions 524 to 776 of the family's 1533-position model. The record is from RNAcentral.